This 492-nucleotide ribosomal RNA is filed under the name uncultured bacterium. RNAcentral's name for it is "partial 16S ribosomal RNA". It matches the Rfam family "Bacterial small subunit ribosomal RNA", at positions 29 to 507 of the family's 1533-position model. The record is from RNAcentral.
AGUGAACGCUGGCGGUAGGCCUAACACAUGCAAGUCGAACGGCAGCACAGUAAGAGCUUGCUCUUACGGGUGGCGAGUGGCGGACGGGUGAGGAAUACAUCGGAAUCUACUUUUUCGUGGGGGAUAACGUAGGGAAACUUACGCUAAUACCGCAUACGACCUACGGGUGAAAGCAGGGGAUCUUCGGACCUUGCGCGAUUGAAUGAGCCGAUGUCGGAUUAGCUAGUUGGGGGGGUAAAGGCCCACCAAGGCGACGCUCCGUAGCUGGUCUGAGAGGAUGAUCCGCCACAAUGGAACUGAGACACGGUCCAGACUCCUACGGGAGGCAGCAGUGGGGAAUAUUGGACAAUGGGCGCAAGCCUGAUCCAGCCAUACCGCGUGGGUGAAGAAGGCCUUCGGGUUGUAAAGCCCUUUUGUUGGGAAAGAAAAGCAGCAGGUUAAUACCCCGCUGUUCUGACGGUACCCAAAGAAUAAGCACCGGCUAACUUCGUG